GCCCUAGUAACGGCGAGUGAAGCGGCAACAGCUCAAAUUUGAAAUCUGGCGUAAGCCCGAGUUGUAAUUUGUAGAGGAUGCUUCAGGGCAGCGGCCGGUCUAAGUCUCUUGGAACAGGGCGUCAUAGAGGGUGAGAAUCCCGUAUGCGACCGGCUGGCACCCGUCACGUAGCUCCUUCGACGAGUCGAGUUGUUUGGGAAUGCAGCUCUAAAUGGGAGGUAAAUUUCUUCUAAAGCUAAAUACCGGCCAGAGACCGAUAGCGCACAAGUAGAGUGAUCGAAAGAUGAAAAGCACUUUGGAAAGAGAGUUAAAAAGCACGUGAAAUUGUUGAAAGGGAAGCGCAUGCAACCAGACUUGUCGGCGGUGUUCCGCCGGUCUUCUGACCGGUCUACUCGCCGCCGGCAGGCCAGCAUCAUCUGGGCGCGCCGGACAAAGGCGCGGGGAAUGUGGCUCCUCGGAGUGUUAUAGCCCCGCGCACAAUACGGCGCCGCCCGGGUGAGGUCCGCGCUUCGGCUAGGAUGCUGGCGUAAUGGUUGUCUGCGGCCCGUCUUGAAACACGGACCAAGGAGUCUAACAUCUAUGCGAGUGUUCGGGUGUCAAACCCCUACGCGGAAUGAAAGUGAACGGAGGUGGGAAGCGCAAGCUGCACCAUCGACCGAUCCUGAUGUCUUCGGAUGGAUUUGAGUAAGAGCAUAGCUGUUGGGACCCGAAAGAUGGUGAACUAUGCCUGAAUAGGGUGAAGCCAGAGGAAACUCUGGUG
RNAcentral lists this ribosomal RNA (760 nucleotides) under Teratosphaeria velox. RNAcentral describes it as "eukaryotic LSU rRNA". It matches the Rfam family "Eukaryotic large subunit ribosomal RNA", at positions 77 to 869 of the family's 3401-position model. The record is from RNAcentral. Lineage: Eukaryota; Fungi; Ascomycota; Dothideomycetes; Mycosphaerellales; Teratosphaeriaceae.